RNAcentral lists this ribosomal RNA (253 nucleotides) under uncultured bacterium. RNAcentral describes it as "partial 16S ribosomal RNA". It matches the Rfam family "Bacterial small subunit ribosomal RNA", at positions 524 to 776 of the family's 1533-position model. The record is from RNAcentral.
UACAGAGGGUGCGAGCGUUAAUCGGAAUUACUGGGCGUAAAGCGUGCGUAGACGGUCAAGUAAGUCGGGUGUGAAAGCCCACGGCUCAACCGUGGAAUCGCACUCGAGACUGAAGGGCUCGAGGACGGGAGAGGAUGGUGGAAUUCCCAGUGUAGAGGUGAAAUUCGUAGAUAUUGGGAAGAACACCGGUGGCGAAGGCGGCCAUCUGGACCGUAUCUGACGCUGAGGCGCGAAAGCGUGGGGAGCAAACAGG